RNAcentral lists this ribosomal RNA (476 nucleotides) under Xylopsora caradocensis. RNAcentral describes it as "SSU rRNA". It matches the Rfam family "Bacterial small subunit ribosomal RNA", at positions 358 to 883 of the family's 1533-position model. Lineage: Eukaryota; Fungi; Ascomycota; Lecanoromycetes; Umbilicariales; Umbilicariaceae. The record is from RNAcentral.
GGAAGAAUGUAUAGCGAAAGCUAAUUGUAUUAGCAGGCAACGGUUAAUACAAUAUCGUCUAUGGCGACUAAAGUUCUAGGUAGAGUAAUGAUAAUGACAUUUUUUACCUAUGUGUCUUGACCAAGUCACGUGCCAGCAGUCGCGGUAAUACGUGGAAGACUAGUGUUAUUCAUCUUUAAUAGGUUUAAAGGGUACCUAGACGGUAUAUCUAGCCCAAAAAGGGUACUAGAUAAACUAGAGUUUAAUGUGAGGGGGUUUCUAGUACUGAUGGAGAAGAGAUGAAAUUCUGUCAUACUAUCAGGUGACUGGUAUCGGCGAAAGCAACCUUUUAUGCAAAAACUGACGUUGAAGGACGAAGGCUAGUAUAACCAACAGGAUUAGUUACCCCAGCAGUCUUAGCAGACAACGCUGAAUGCCAUAGAUUAGAUUAUAUUUCUUCUAUAAAUGAAAGUGUAAGCAUUCCACCUCAAGAGUAA